This 1518-nucleotide long non-coding RNA is filed under the name Bos indicus x Bos taurus (hybrid cattle). RNAcentral describes it as "lncRNA (ENSBIXG00000014051.1)". Lineage: Eukaryota; Metazoa; Chordata; Mammalia; Artiodactyla; Bovidae. The record is from RNAcentral.
GUCUCACUUUAGGACCCACCUCUCAGCAUCUCUGCCGAGAAGGUCAAGAUGGUGCAACCUUGAAGAUGCUUACAAGGAUGGGCUGGCCUGGAAAGGCUUCUGCAGCUGGCAUAGCUACAGUCUGGAACAUCAGUGACGUUCAGGCAGACUUCCUGGAGGAGAAGCAUCCUGGGCCGCAUAGGCUCCUGCAGGACAUUGACAAGGAGGCUGCUCCAGUCCGAGCUGGUGGACCGGCCAGAUCCACGGCAUCACCUGCGACUGAGAGCCGGGUUCCCACUUCCAUGGGAGCUCCAUGUUCUCCAGUCCUUCCGGCCUUGACCAGAGCGCAGGGCUGGGUCAGGCGAAGAGCAGGCGGGCACCGGGUCUGCUGUGCUUGUGACUCACUGCUUAGAACAGCAUGGGGUCACGACCUUCUUCUCCCUGAGCCUUGGCGUGAAGGACGUUCUAGAAGGUGGGCUUCCUGGGCGGUUUGCUGGAGGGACGGCUCGGCUCCCCAGCCUGGUGGCUGCAGGCGGUAGGUUCUCAGAGGUCUGUUUCCAGGUAUGGUCUGCUCAUUGCCCCUUCGGGCAUUCAGUCUCCCACAGGGUCCUUAUAGAGACCCGCAGAGAGAGACACCGACGAGGAGGUAGAGGUUCAAGUGAUGCAGCCAUGAGCCAAGGGCUCUAGGAGCUGCUGGAUGGUGAAAGAGCCCCCGGAGGAGUCGCCCCUGGAGAUUCCGGAGGGAGUGUGGCCUGCCGACCCCUUGAUUUUGACUUCCGGCCUCCAGAGCUGUGAGAGAAUCAACUUCUGUUGUUUUCAGCCACCACGUUUCUGGGGUUUGUCACGGUGGCCACAGGAAAUGGAUCUGCUUACUGAGGGUGGCAGGGUUGGUGGCUGGCGGUGAAGGCCGUGGAUGUGGAGGAGGGGAGUGGGAGGGCGAGGGGCACUGGGGCUUCCUCCAGGGGCCAGGCAAUGGGACUUCCUGCUGGUUUGAGUGGGGAACCUGGGAUCACAUGAAUCAUUCAUUCCAUAUUUGCUGAGAUCCCAAGGGGGCCACGGUCUCGUGGAUCAUAGCCUGAGAGACGUCCUGGACCAAACUGUCCUUCCGAUCGUCCCCGGCCCUUCCGGCCGUCCCCAGCCCUGGUUCGACACCUUCAGCCCACGUGCCCGCCGGAGCCCCUUGCAGACUGUCAGCCCGCAGACUCCAGGACCGUCACUCAGGCUGCCCUCGGUGCUGAGAGCCUAAGAAGUGAGGGGAAGCCCAGCUGUCACACCAGUGUCACCUUGAUGGCCUUGUUUUAUUCUCUACCCCCACCCUCCAUCUUUCAGUUCCAGAUGGCUUUAAAGUGGCUUGGGAAGCAGUGACACCCACAUAGCAAGUUCACUUGGAGUUUGGGAGGCUGGGAAACGGGGUGGGGUGGGGAAGGGAGUGGGCACUUGGAAGCAGUGUGAGUCACGUGGGGCUGUGUCCAGGAGCUGGAAAGGAGUGUGGGCCACAGCGCUGCUUGGGACAAAAAGCCUCAAGCUGGACCCUUUCUU